AGAUCAUGUUGAUGAAAAUUUCUGAUCAACCCUUUGUAACAUUCCCAUGCCUCGUCUAAUGACUCCCCAGUUUGUUGCUCAAAGUUAGCUAUUGCCUUCUUGAGUUU
Small nucleolar RNA from Lactuca sativa (garden lettuce), 107 nucleotides. The record is from RefSeq and is a predicted model, not a curated record. NCBI's taxonomy places the organism in Eukaryota, Viridiplantae, Streptophyta, Magnoliopsida, Asterales, Asteraceae.